Molecule: long non-coding RNA, 340 nt
Organism: Coregonus clupeaformis (lake whitefish)
Lineage: Eukaryota; Metazoa; Chordata; Actinopteri; Salmoniformes; Salmonidae
Exons: 4
Source: RefSeq, a predicted model, not a curated record
UAGAAGGUUUCUGUCUAUUUGAGCUAGUCAGUAUGUGUAGGUAUUCCUGUCUAACGCGGCUUUAAAAACAUCUUAUUGUGUAGUGGAGCUGCAUAAGUGUUGCUCUCCACUUUCUGGAGGAUUGAGUUUUAAAAUCAGUGGUAUUAGAGUAUGAUAACUAAAGAGAUGGAGAAAACCCCUGUCUCCGGAUUACAUCUUCAAACUAAGGGUAACCAUGGCAUCCGUAACAGGGAGACACGUCCAUCAUGCAUGAUGAUGUAUACGGAUCGCCUCACUGAGCAGCGAGAUGAUGUUGAAAAGAAUCUCACUAGUCAACUGGAUGACCUCAGGAAGGAGAAUG